Molecule: ribosomal RNA, 373 nt
Filed under: Anophryoides haemophila
Lineage: Eukaryota; Ciliophora; Oligohymenophorea; Philasterida; Glauconematidae
Description: partial Bacterial large subunit ribosomal RNA
Rfam family: Bacterial large subunit ribosomal RNA
Source: RNAcentral
UCCUAAGGUAGCGAAAUUCCUUGUCGGGUAAGUUCCGACCUGCACGAAUGGCGUAAUGAUGGCCAGGCUGUCUCCACCCGAGACUCAGUGAAAUUGAACUCGCUGUGAAGAUGCAGUGUACCCGCGGCAAGACGGAAAGACCCCGUGAACCUUUACUAUAGCUUUACACUGAACGUUGAGUUCGUCUGUGUAGGAUAGGUGGGAGGCUUUGAAGUGUGGACGCCAGUCUGCGUGGAGCCAUCCUUGAAAUACCACCCUUUAAUGGCUGGUGUUCUAACGUGGGCCCCUAAUCGGGGUUGCGGACAGUGUCUGGUGGGUAGUUUGACUGGGGCGGUCUCCUCCCAAAGAGUAACGGAGGAGUGCGAAGGUAACC